GACGAACGCUGGCGGCGUGCUUGACACAUGCAAGUCGAACGGUAAGGCUCCAGCUUGCUGGGGUACACGGGUGGCGAACGGGUGAGUAACACGUGGGUGACCUGCCCUGCACUUCGGGAUAAGCCUGGGAAACUGGGUCUAAUACCGGAUAGGACCAUGGUGUGGAUACUGUGGUGGAAAGUUUUUUCGGUGUGGGAUGGGCCCGCGGCCUAUCAGCUUGUUGGUGGGGUAAUGGCCUACCAAGGCGGCGACGGGUAGCCGGCCUGAGAGGGUGGACGGCCACAUUGGGACUGAGACACGGCCCAGACUCCUACGGGAGGCAGCAGUGGGGAAUAUUGCACAAUGGGCGGAAGCCUGAUGCAGCGACGCCGCGUGGGGGAUGACGGCCUUCGGGUUGUAAACUCCUUUCACCAUCGACGAAGGGUUUCUGACGGUAGAUGGAGAAGAAGCACCGGCUAACUACGUG
This 466-nucleotide ribosomal RNA is filed under the name uncultured bacterium. RNAcentral describes it as "partial 16S ribosomal RNA". It matches the Rfam family "Bacterial small subunit ribosomal RNA", at positions 28 to 507 of the family's 1533-position model. The record is from RNAcentral.